GUGAUUGAGGUUUAUUUUGGAGUGGAGUCAUGGAGUUCUCAGGUAUGCUCAUGGGAAGAUCAAGAAACAGAAACAGCUAAAAGAGUUAUCUGGAUAUAUUAGGACCAUCUUGCAGGCAUUGAAUUUAAAUGCAUCCCACUAAUGAUGUGUCCGUCUGGGAACCACGUGCUUUGGCCUAGAUAUCUUCAGCAGAAAGGGACAGCAGGCAAAUGGUUAUCUGCAAACAGGUCCUCCAGCCUCUCUGAAGAAUCUUUCCCAGGAAAAGAGUGGGAACUGAGGUGAAUUACAGACCAUACAACUGCAUGUGGGAGUUGGAGUUACAGGGAGAGGACGAUGUUAGAAGUCUCCAGGUGCAUUCACAGCAGCUUUGUAGUUUGGGUCAGUAGUUUUGAAACAAUUCUGCCCAUCUCCAACUUGCCAUAAUUAUGGCAUCACAGAAUCCUCUCAAACUGGAUUCCUCCAUGAUGAAGACAAAGCAGAAGAGGAGCUCAAGGAAAGCAUCUAAAGCACUACUACCACUGAAGAUGCUCAGUCUACUGGUCCAGAAGAAAGCUAGUUCAGAGUGACACAGUCUGUUUACACCAGCAUAAACUGUUUCCUGAUCUACAGAUCGGCUUCUACUUUCUAAUGUAGCCUUUAUGAUUAAAUGGAGCCUAGAUGGCAAAAAUGUUGCUGUGACCUAAGUGUACAAACAUUUUCCUUUCUCAAAGCCAUUUUUUACAAUGUAUCAAAGCCUUUGUUAACAUCCCAAGGAAGACAGAGGGAAUAAUCUAAAAGUUCAAAUAUAGUUCAAAACACUGCAGUCUGACAUGUGUCUGUCACUCAGUUGCAAUAUUGGAAACCUGUCAUAUAUUCUGGAGACGUUUUCUGCAGAUCUCUACAAAUCUGCUAACAAUUUCUGCAGACAGAGCUGCUGCCUGUCAGUGGGAGAUAGUCUUGUGCAUUCCUGGCCUCCUUUGUACCUUGAAUCAUGAAGCAAAAAUCAAGAGGAAGGAGGCAACAUGAUACAAAAUGACCCUAGCCUUCACCCAGUUCCUCUGUUAACAUGAAUUGAGGAAUGAGCUGGAGGCCACUCCAGUGUAUAGGCAUAUAGGGCUCACCUUGCAUGAGGAGGAUAUCCUAUACUGCAUAUAUUAAUUUUGCAGUUUAAUGGUCCCUGUAAUGUGACAUAAACCGUCUGUACCUCAGCAAAGAACUUGACUUGGUAAUAGAAAGCCUGCAGGAUAAAUUAGAUAAACAACAUUACAAUGCAACCCACAUCCUCACCCGUACCCUUAUCAGUGUUCACAUUAGCUUCUUUACUUCAUUGUGAAAAAUCAAGUUUGUAAAUCACUAUCUUGAUAGCAUCUAACUUCCAGGUCUAUUAUUCCUACCAUGACAAUCAAGGGCAUUGUUGAAGUUUCAAAUGUUUUCUUGGCUCAGUUUAGCAGCAAGAAAACCUGAGGACAAUUAAUAAGGCCAGUACUGAUUGGAAUCUGCCAAUCAGAGACAACAGCUAGGGUUUUUAUAGGUAAAGAAAAUUCUCUCUUCUGAUAUUUGCAUGAUGCUAGAUAAUUCAGGAUCACUUUUCAUUAGCUGAACUUGAGGAUGUCAUUUGAGCUUUUAGAAGGCCUGGUCUCAUUACAUCGAAUUCUACAGAAGAGCUGUUUUGC
Grus americana (Whooping crane) is the source of this 1652-nucleotide long non-coding RNA. RefSeq lists it as uncharacterized. NCBI's taxonomy places the organism in Eukaryota, Metazoa, Chordata, Aves, Gruiformes, Gruidae. The record is from RefSeq and is a predicted model, not a curated record. The transcript has 3 exons.